GCUAACUCCGUGCCAGCAGCCGCGGUAAUACGGAGGGGGCAAGCGUUACUCGGAAUUAUUGGGCGUAAAGGGCGCGUAGGCGGUCUCGUGCGUCAGGGGUGAAAUCCCCGGGCUUAACCCGGGACGUGCCUUUGAUACGGCGAGACUUGAGUCCGGGAGAGGGGAGCAGAAUUCCCAGUGUAGCGGUGAAAUGCGUAGAUAUUGGGAGGAAUACCAGUGGCGAAGGCGGCUCCCUGGACCGGUACUGACGCUGAGGCGCGAAAGCGUGGGUAGCAAACAGGAUUAGAUACCCCUGUAGUC
This 300-nucleotide ribosomal RNA is filed under the name uncultured bacterium. RNAcentral's name for it is "bacterial SSU rRNA". It matches the Rfam family "Bacterial small subunit ribosomal RNA", at positions 496 to 795 of the family's 1533-position model. The record is from RNAcentral.